CCUACGGGAGGCAGCAGUUGGGAAUUUUGCACAAUGGAGGCAACUCUGAUGCAGCAACACCGCGUGAGUGAUGAAGGUUUUCGGAUUGUAAACUUCUUUACGAGGGAAUAA
RNAcentral lists this ribosomal RNA (111 nucleotides) under uncultured bacterium. RNAcentral describes it as "partial 16S ribosomal RNA". It matches the Rfam family "Bacterial small subunit ribosomal RNA", at positions 338 to 448 of the family's 1533-position model. The record is from RNAcentral.